AAGUCGAACGAAGCAAUUGAAGGAAGUUUUCGGAUGGAAUCAGUAUAACUUAGUGGCGGACGGGUGAGUAACGCGUGGGAAACCUGCCCUGUACCGGGGGAUAACACUUAGAAAUAGGUGCUAAUACCGCAUAAGCGCACGGAACCGCAUGGUACGGUGUGAAAAACUCCGGUGGUGUGAGAUGGAUCCGCGUCUGAUUAGCCAGUUGGCGGGGUAACGGCCCACCUAGUCUUCGAUGGAUAGGGGUUCUGAGAGGAAGGUCCCCACAUUGGAACUGAGACACGGUCCAAACUCC
Molecule: ribosomal RNA, 295 nt
Filed under: uncultured bacterium
Lineage: Bacteria
Description: partial 16S ribosomal RNA
Rfam family: Bacterial small subunit ribosomal RNA
Source: RNAcentral